AGAUAUGAGGGGGAUCAGGCUGUGACAUUGGUCACCCCACUGACUGCCAGGUUGAUUGGGCUAAUCUGGGUGGCUAGACAGAUGUCACCUUCCACCAUCACCACUCCAUGAAUGUCCUUCCCAAAUCAUUGAGCUCUGUCAAUGAGGCCCCCUUUCCUCUACUAAGGAGGACCAUUCUUCAGGGUAUAAAAGUAGCUGCCCUUGUUUGCUAGAACCUCCAGACAAGGUCUCAAGAAAGACAAUUCUCUUCACUUCCUAAAUAGAAAAGGUGAACUUGAAAAUCAAAGAGUAUUCGUUAAGGUUGGAGAGCAGCCUUGUAAG
RNAcentral lists this small nuclear RNA (321 nucleotides) under Nannospalax galili (Upper Galilee mountains blind mole rat). Its description in RNAcentral is "7SK RNA (ENSNGAG00000006856.1)". It matches the Rfam family "7SK RNA". From Rfam's summary of the family: 7SK was discovered as an abundant small nuclear RNA in the mid-70s but a possible function has only recently been suggested. Two independent studies have found that 7SK RNA binds the CDK9/cyclin T complex (known as elongation factor P-TEFb). P-TEFb activates transcription by phosphorylating the C-terminal domain of RNA polymerase II. The record is from Rfam by way of RNAcentral. Lineage: Eukaryota; Metazoa; Chordata; Mammalia; Rodentia; Spalacidae.